AGCAGCCGCGGUAAUUCCAGCUCCAAUAGCGUAUAUUAAAGUUGUUGCAGUUAAAAAGCUCGUAGUUGAAUUUCGGGGUCAGUAGGCUGGUCGUGCCACAGGUACGUACUGGUCUCACUGAUUCCUCCUUCCUGAUGAACCGUAAUGCCAUUAAUUUGGUGUUGCGGGGAAACUGGACUGUUACUUUGAAAAAAUUAGAGUGUUUAAAGCAGGCUAACGCUUGAAUACAUUAGCAUGGAAUAAUGAAAUAGGACGUUCGAUCCUAUUUUGUUGGUUUCUAGGAUUGACGUAAUGAUUAAUAGGGAUAGUUGGGGGCAUUAGUAUUCAAUUGUCAGAGGUGAAAUUCUUGGAUUUAUUGAAGACUAACUACUGCGAAAGCAUUUGCCAAGGAUGUUUUCAUUAAUCAAGAACGAAAGUUAGGGGAUCGAAGACGAUCAGAUACCGUCGUAG
RNAcentral lists this ribosomal RNA (450 nucleotides) under uncultured Glomeromycotina. Its description in RNAcentral is "SSU rRNA". It matches the Rfam family "Eukaryotic small subunit ribosomal RNA", at positions 569 to 1023 of the family's 1831-position model. Lineage: Eukaryota; Fungi; Glomeromycota. The record is from RNAcentral.